Long non-coding RNA from Brassica napus (rape), 654 nucleotides. RefSeq lists it as uncharacterized. The record is from RefSeq and is a predicted model, not a curated record. Lineage: Eukaryota; Viridiplantae; Streptophyta; Magnoliopsida; Brassicales; Brassicaceae. The transcript has 2 exons.
AAAAAAUUAUAAUAAUGGCAUUAUACAUAAUAUUUUCAAUUCAUUAAGAAUACUUUUGUAAUUGACUACUCUAAAAUUAACAUGAAAACUACACAUAAGAAACUGACUUCUCAAAUAAUAUUAUAGAGAUAUAAAUAUAUAUUUUUUUGAAAUGGCUUAGGGCAUUAUAAUAUGUUAGACCGGCACUGUUGGCCGCUCAGAGAUCUCCUGCGGUUGCUGGAGGAUGAGAGUCUGAUGUCCGGGAACGGCAAGCUACGGCUCGAUCCUCCGGUAUAAACAGAAUCGUAUAUAAGGAGGUGGUGAUGGAGAUUCAUAGAAACUGAGAUUCUCUGUUUCUUUGUUGAGGGAAAAAUCGAAAAAGAUUUCACAGCCUGCGUUGGGAAAAACCUCCUCCAAGACCAAAGAAGAUACCAAAGAACUUUUCAGAAUCGAAUGAAUGAGAGGAAGUAACAACUGGCUCUAUGAGUUAAUGACGUCCAGGAGGCUGGGGAGACAUGAUCAAGGUGUGAUCAUUGGUUUCAUCACUUUAGAGUCCACAAAUUCAUGUUCUAUCAACUUUGUGUUCUACUUUUGAAUAUUUUCAGUUGUAAAACGGAAGAACAAAUAUAGCAAAUGUGCCAAUUUUUAGUGAAUGAAGCUAUUUUACUUGUGUUU